GGGACACCCGGCUGGCGCCCCGGGUGCCGCGCUCGAGGGCCGGGGGCUCUGGGGCUGCGGAGGGCGGCGAGCGGGGCUGCCGAGAGCGGCUGGGACGGGCGGGCAGCAAUGGCGCCGGGACUGCGAGCGCUGCCCGCGCCGCUCCCUCGCCGGGCGGGCGCGGGGCCGCCCUUGGCCGCGGGAAGAGCGAGCAUCGGAGCAGCGCCCCGUCCUCGGGGCCCCCGGUGCCGGCCAGCGGGCUGCUCUUCGCCAGAUUUGGAUUAUGGUGGUUUUCUAACCCAGCCACAGUUCUGCAGUAUAGAACAGGUUCUGGCAUACACACUGUGCCCUAAAGAAAGUUCUGGCUGUAGGUAGAAUGCCAUGAAUAAUACCUUAUUGUCUGAGUGGCUUCAGAGGAAUCGUUCAUGAGUUAUUUUCUCAGAUGCAGGUAGACUGUCUUCAAAUAAUGUCAAGUUUCUGUGCUCCUUCUGUCUAAAUUUGAGUUUCCCCAGCCUGCCUGGUUAGGUGUUCCUCAACCAGACGCCAGGAGGAGACGGCAGAGAGAGCCCGGGCUCCCGCAGGGCUGAGCAGCGAGUCAGGGGCUCUACGCCUCAGGGCUUUGGCCUGUGCUGCAAACUCCUCUAACUUCUGCCUUGGAACCAGUGGAGGAGCACCUGGAGCACACCUCGGUGUUCCAAGGACAGAGACUCCCUGACUCACCGUGGCAGACAGGCAGGAGGAGGCCCGGAAGGGAGGGAGCCAGCAUGCCUGCUGUGUCAGCAGUCAGAGCCUGACCCGGACAUCUUGUGCGGAAAAACUCCGGAUAAAUGGUUUCUGUGCCCACCAGUUCUGCCCUCCCAACAGCGAAACCAGUCCCGCCAGCCAACGGGACUGGUCAAUGCAACAGGAGCCACUGGGAGGGACUGGGAGGGACUGGGUGUCAUUAUCUAGUUAACUAAACCAAGUCCCUUCACUAUAAACCUUAGACAAGGUAAAAGGGAGGUAACUUGUUUUAUGUCUUUACAGGGGCCCAAUUAAGUUUUACGAUUUCUUUUUCUUUUCUCUCUCUGGGUUGUGUUGACCUCAGGCUGUUUUCUUUUUAUGUACCUCAAAUCGUUCUCCCUUUUACCUUGUCUAAAAUUUCUAGUGAAGGGACUUGGUUUAGUUAACUAGAUAAUAACACCUUUCUUAAAAGUUGAUAACUGUGUAGAUAACAAGCACCCAUCUGCUCAGUGUCUGACCUGACAACGUGUAAUGUUUUUGCUGUUGUGUAAUGAAU
Molecule: long non-coding RNA, 1258 nt
Organism: Pseudopipra pipra
Lineage: Eukaryota; Metazoa; Chordata; Aves; Passeriformes; Pipridae
Exons: 5
Source: RefSeq, a predicted model, not a curated record